This 83-nucleotide ribosomal RNA is filed under the name marine bacterium AO1-C. Lineage: Bacteria; Pseudomonadati; Bacteroidota; Cytophagia; Cytophagales; Cytophagaceae. The record is from RNAcentral.
CUUCCCAUUCCGAACAGAGCAGUUAAGCCCCAUUGCGCCGAUGGUACUACAAUCAAAUGUGGAAGAGUAGGUCGCUGCCGGCC